GGUCACCCGUUUACUAGGAUCUUCAUUCGCAGGGGCAACCUGAUGCACAUUUGCCCUUGCAUUUAAUUCAAACAGUACAUAAGAUGUCAUCGUAAGGUCAAGCAAUGACCCAACGUGGCUAAAACAGCACAUAAAAUGAUGAUAGAAAAAUAAAAGGGCAACUAAAAAAUGAAUGAUCCGCAUGGUCAUAGAAACAUCAGAUAACAUCCAUGCGCACAGAUGAAUUGCUUGACCAAUGACUACUUAAUGAACAUGGCUAGAAUUGAAAAACAAGUCCACACAGACUCUCUCUAGUAUUGUGUAAUUGCUAAAUCUUGACUCGAAAAUAAAAAUUAAUCUGAAAAUGGACAACAUAGUGCACACGAACCUUAAAGCGAGAAGUUCAAAAGGGCUACAACCUAAGGUUUCAGGGUCAUAAUUUUAAAUUCACGAUGCAAUGCAAAAGCUUAAAAGCAGCUCCAGAGUUGACAUUCAGACAUAGAGCUGAGAACACGUCUUCGGAACAAUGAUGCCAUAAGGCCUUCACUCGUAUAGGAAGAAAUCACAUUACCACAAAGGGCUGUCAAAGCACACAGAAUUAUGGUGUGAACUAUUUUUUAUUUCCCCUCUUUGAUUAACCAGCAAGUACCAUACAAAAGUAAAAAACUAUCAACUAGUUACACACUACAUACGAUAUACAGUAUCAAAAGCUGCACCUAAGUUGGACACCAAAGCCUCAUUGCUGAACACCCCGACUACCCAAAUCAGCAGCAACUUUGGCUGCCCGAUUCAAAGCAUCCGACAUCCAAAGAGCUCCCUUAGAGAAGUAGCUACUGUUUACCACAGUGUUUGCUGCUGCUGCUGCAGCUGUUCUUCCUGUUGCUGAUGCAGCUGAUUUGGUCAUACCAGAGGCAUGGUACUUCUGACCCAAAGCUUUGACAGCUCCCAUGCCAGCGAAAAUUUUAUCAGCAAGGCCAACUCUAUCAGUCAGCUCAGCAACCUUAGCUGCUCAGUUGCAGUAACUUGAUGAGAUUCACCAUGCACUUUUGCCUUGCUUACUGCUUUUCCCGACACAUAUCCCGUGGCCAGCAUAGCUUUGAUCAGUUACUGCUCCUCCAGCACUAGGAACAUACCUUCUUUGUGAGGGCUGCUUCAGAAUGAAAGAUUAAUCAACUUAAGAAAAAUAUAGAAUAAAUAAAUCUACUUGUUCAUGUGGAUCAUAUUAUAACAACAACAUAGACAUAGCAGGCAUACAGUUGAUUCAGUUCCAUUUUCUACCCUUGAUGAAGGCCUUUUUCAAAAAUUAAAUUCAUCUACAUAGUUCUCCCAGUGGGUUAUGCAUUCGUGUUGAUCCAUGAUUGUAGCACCCUAAGAUAUAAUAAGAAUAGGAAGAGUACACAGGCAAACAAAUCAUUAGUUAGUCACAACUAUCAGCAAAGGGGCAAAAUAAAAUUAAAGACCACUUGGUUAUCUAAUGCAGUCAUCACAAGGAUAAACGGGACAAAUGAAAAUCAAACUAGAAUUGGACCUCCACAUUUUGAUGAAAAAACUAAUCUAGAGAAUCCUCUAUGAUAGUAAAUCCAUAUUAGAUGACAACAAAUACUACAGGAAAAAACCAAGAAACUCUGAUGCUUUAACAAAAUGACCUAUUACGAUGUUGACAAGAGAGAAAGUGCCAGAUCAAAAGAUCCAUACAUGAAACAGCAACUCCGUUUUAUUAGUUAAGUUGCAUAAAAUUAACAGAUAGCACUAAAUUCUGACAAAUUGGAGAACAAUAAUGCUAAAACUGUUUAUAUCAUUUAAAAAAAAUUUGGUAACCAGCAAUGAUUAUUGAGCCAAUACUCACACUAAGACAACAGUCUCUUAACCAUAGUCAUAUUAGAAUGUCACGUAACAUGACAGGUAAAUUCACUGGAUUUGUUUCAUCUACACAGCCGAAUUUUCCUAUAUCGGCAAAUGCAAGCUACUAAUUGAUUGAUUGAAAAAAAAUGACAUACUUGACAAUCUCAACAUGUUCAAUUGUACCUGAGAAGGAGAAAAAGAAUUGUAGAGAUCCUUCUCAGUAACUUUGAGAGAGAGGCCUGUAACUUUUACAGUAUACCCACCUUCUUAGUAACUAUCUACAUAUACCCACCUUCAUUUAUGAUCCUAAAACCUGAAGAAAUUAAAACUAGAAUUCACAACCUCAACUAUAGUUUCAGGGAUUACAACACCAAUCCUCUUUAUCUGUACAAUUCAUUUCAAGCUCACAAUAAGAACAAUCAUAUGAGAAGUUCAUAUAUCUGUUUAUUUACCAUGAAAAGAACAGAGAACAAGGUAUAAAGCAGAGAGCAUGGUUUUAAAUCACGGUUGCGGCCACGUUCGCGAUCACGGUUGCAAGUAAUGCAAAUGAGCCAAGAUUUGAAGGAUGGCAUUCUUCCAAAUCAUCAAGGCACCCUUGAGUUUCUAGCUUCUCAUCAUAGAACAAAUGCUUUUCUUCAACAUCAACCACCUCUUCAUUUGUAUCUUGAAUCUAUAGCCACUCAAUGUUCCGUUUAUCCUCUUCGUUAUUAAUGAUGGUCACAAAUAAUGGUGCAUUGUCACAUUUGUAGCUCAAUAAAUAGGCCUCUUUAAACCAUAAACACAGACCUUGCUCUCCUAUCAUUAAAUUCUGAUAAGGUUUUGAGACUGAGAGGAAUAUAAUCCAUGGUUGUGGAGGGAAUAUCAGCUAAUCAAAGGAUGAGAUCAAGAAAAUCAGGCAUUGGGAGGAGAACGAAGACUUCCAGAAUCAAGAAUGGAAAUUUUAAAGUCUUGGAAGCUUAUAAUCUCAGAUGCACCCAUUAUAAUGUUUGAGGAAAUUCUUCGAAUGAUUUCUGGGAUUGAAUAUGUGAAUUUAAAAUAAAUUGUGAAGAAUUUGUGAUAAUCGAGUUAGAUUAAAGAUAGGAUCUUGAAUUUGAGGGUUUAGAAAAGAAUUAGUAUAAAGAUGGAUCAAAACUGCUGUUCGUUUACCAAGAAAACAACAGAAGAAGGGGUUAGAAAACAGAGAGAGAAAGAAGACAUAAUUUGAGAGAGAAUCAAGAAGAAGUCUCCUACAUCACAAGCGUAGAUUCACUUAUAUGCUCCUGUUAAUUAGCUAACAGCUAGAAUAGAACUACAACGUUCCAAUUUCCCGUAAAUCAUAGUACUAUUACAAACCGAAUCAAAUAACAUUUAAAAAUUCUGCAUGCAUUACCAGUUAUUAGAUGAAAACUAGAAGUUCUUGUGGACUAGUGAUCAAAACUUCAAUACACCUUAAUUCAUCUAAAAUUAACCCUAAACUCAGGUGCUUUAUCACUAAAUUCAAGUGAUUCGAUGAUAACAAAUUAAGCAACAGCAAUUUUAGAAAAUUAGUAGAAUUCAAUCACCUGUUUAGGAUCAGAGGAAAGACGAAUUGAAGAAGCCUGAGCACUUUGAAUCGAGAGACGGAGAGAAAAAUAGAAGCUUCAAGAUGAGAUCAUUACACAGAAACACAUUACCUUCUCCACUGUGUCCUGAGGCACGUGCAAAUCGCAUGACAUGGCUGACUCAUGAAUCAUGACUGGCUUGGCCGGUGA
This 3551-nucleotide unclassified non-coding RNA is filed under the name Hevea brasiliensis (rubber tree). The record is from RNAcentral. Lineage: Eukaryota; Viridiplantae; Streptophyta; Magnoliopsida; Malpighiales; Euphorbiaceae.